This 695-nucleotide small RNA is filed under the name Pongo abelii (Sumatran orangutan). Its description in RNAcentral is "retained intron". Lineage: Eukaryota; Metazoa; Chordata; Mammalia; Primates; Hominidae. The record is from RNAcentral.
CAGAACCGAGCUUCAUGUGUUUAGUCCUGUCCAGGAAUCAGCAAACACACUUGAGAGGCAGCAGUUGAAUACUCUUUUAAAUUUAGAGAAUCUCUGAUUUGCUGUCACUGUAGAGAAUUUCAGUUACACUUUGAGAUCUACAUAGACUUGGUUUUGUUUAUCAAAUCUGUAGGACACUGCUUAACUCUUAAAAAUCUUGGAGCUGAUGUUUUACUAGGCAUAUAAACAGAUACAUUUCUACCUAUUAUUCUUCCCAUUCAUUCAUUCUUCUCCCGUGUUUUUGUAAGUAGUAGAAUACUUAAACUAUAAAUGCAGAAAUAAGCCUACCUGAAUAACUGGAUUUUGCCCCUUUCCCUCUAUUUUAUCUAUCUAUCCCAAAGACUUUCAAAAUUGUGGACUAUGAAGAUGAGUUAGAUUUGCUUUCUGUGGUAGCUGUUACUCAAAUAGAUGCUGAAGGAAAAGCUCACCUGGAUUUCCACUGUAAUGAAUAUGGAACUUUACUUAAAAGCAUUCCACUAGUGGAGUCAUGGGAUGUGACAUAUAGCCAUGAAGUCUACUUUGACAGGGACUUGGUGCUACACAUAGAGCAGAAACCCAACAGAGUCUUCAGCUGCUAUGUUUACCAGAUGGUAUGUGACACUGGGGAAGAAGAAGAAACCAUAAACAGAAGCUGUUAAAAAGAAUGAGAUAAUUGU